AUUGAACGCUGGCGGCAGGCCUAACACAUGCAAGUCGAACGGUAACAGGAAGCAGCUUGCUGCUUUGCUGACGAGUGGCGGACGGGUGAGUAAUGUCUGGGAAACUGCCCGAUGGAGGGGGAUAACUACUGGAAACGGUAGCUAAUACCGCAUAACGUCGCAAGACCAAAGAGGGGGAACUUCGGGCCUCUUGCCAUCGGAUGUGCCCAGAUGGGAUUAGCUAGUAGGUGGGGUAAAGGCUCACCUAGGCGACGAUCCCUAGCUGGUCUGAGAGGAUGACCAGCCACACUGGAACUGAGGCACGGUCCAGACUCCUACGGGAGGCAGCAGUGGGGAAUAUUGCACAAUGGGCGCAAGCCUGAU
RNAcentral lists this ribosomal RNA (363 nucleotides) under uncultured Escherichia sp. Its description in RNAcentral is "bacterial SSU rRNA". It matches the Rfam family "Bacterial small subunit ribosomal RNA", at positions 30 to 387 of the family's 1533-position model. The record is from RNAcentral. Lineage: Bacteria; Pseudomonadati; Pseudomonadota; Gammaproteobacteria; Enterobacterales; Enterobacteriaceae.